GUAUUUCUGCGUCUGGAUCUGCACUCCUGCUCUGCUGUCUGAUCUACUGCAGAUCUCCUACUAAAGACACAGUCUUCCGUCUUCAGAUGUUUCUCGUCUUCUGUCCAAAUGUUCUGAUGUCUCUAGCGUUUGUCCUCUGGGGUGUUUCUGAAGGAUCUCUGUUUGAGUCGGUCUCUUGUUGUGCUCUUUAUUUUCUGAGGCCUCUCAUGUUGCUCUGGACGGCUCCGUAUGUUAAUGAGUUCACAGGUGAUUCAUUACUGACAGUUUAUGAGAGAAAAUAUGCUUCAUGAAUUAUAAUA
Molecule: long non-coding RNA, 299 nt
Filed under: Sinocyclocheilus anshuiensis
Lineage: Eukaryota; Metazoa; Chordata; Actinopteri; Cypriniformes; Cyprinidae
Description: lncRNA (ENSSANG00000033941.1)
Source: RNAcentral